This is a long non-coding RNA of Pyrus x bretschneideri (Chinese white pear), 1017 nucleotides long. RefSeq lists it as uncharacterized. The transcript has 2 exons. Lineage: Eukaryota; Viridiplantae; Streptophyta; Magnoliopsida; Rosales; Rosaceae. The record is from RefSeq and is a predicted model, not a curated record.
UUAAGGGCAUAUUUCAAUCAAGUUUUAUCAAGUUCUUUUAAGAUUAAAACUUACCUAUAUAUACCGAUUAAGUUGGAGAAAAUGUCAGUACAAGAGGGCUGAAAGACGUUGGCAACCAACGAAUAAAAGCAAAAAUGUGAAAUUUGUCCUGCGUGGUUGAGGACUAAGUGAAGAGUUUAAGAAAUUUGUCCUCACCGUGCUCUUAUCUCUCUCUGCUCUCUGUUCUCUUGAUCAUCGACAGCCACUAUCACACCACAACUCGCCAACUCCAGCGAGACCACACCACCAACCCACUACCACUCUCUCCCUCUCUCCUCACCCUGAACCCAGAAUUUCGAACUGAGGAAGAUCCCAUUUCUACCGUUGUCCGUCCAACUUUAGCCGUCCUUUGAUCCACCUCCGAGGAAGAUCUCGCACUCACCGUCCUCGAUUCAAUUCCGCUGAGGAGUUGUGUAGGUUAAUUUACUUUAUUUCCUGUAUUUUUUUUUUUUUGGUUCAAUUUCAAACUCGUGAUGCAACUCUAAAAAGAGCAGCAAAGCCUUUGACCCGCAGCUCCAGCAUCGACCCCCUUCUCCAACCCCACCAGCUUGUUAAUCAGAAAUAUCUUAUUCGUGCAGCAGUUUGAGAUCCUACGUGCACUCGUUCCGUUGUUUGCACAGGAAGUUCUCGUUUGUACAUGUGGACUCCUGGUGUUGCCUACAGUGUGAGCAUCCCUCCCUAACCACAAUUUAGCAUGCUUGAUCUAAAAUGGAAUUGAGUUGGAAGCUGUCUCCUCCUGAAGGAUAAAGAGUUGUUUUGCUGUGCUUCUGUUGCAGUUCUUGAAUUUAGUAAAUAUAGCUCGGAUGAUUGAGGCAGUUAGCUAUUUUCCAGAGUUUAUUGUAAAAAAUUGUAGAAUGUACAAUUAAGCAAUUUAUCUUGCUUUGCUGUGUAUUGUGUUAAUGUAGUAUUGGGAUCUUUCAUUUGUUCUAGUUGGAACAUCCAACAGUUCGAUUAAAUUGGUGACCUUUCCGUCUCUCA